This 354-nucleotide unclassified non-coding RNA is filed under the name soil metagenome. RNAcentral describes it as "partial contains 5.8S ribosomal RNA, internal transcribed spacer 2, and large subunit ribosomal RNA". The stretch from base 1 to 120 matches the Rfam family "5.8S ribosomal RNA", at positions 35 to 154 of the family's 154-position model. The record is from RNAcentral.
GAUGAAGAACGUAGCGAAAUGCGAUAAGUAGUGUGAAUUGCAGAAUUCAGUGAGUCAUCGAAUCUUUGAACGCACAUUGCGCCCCCUGGCAUUCCGGGGGGCAUGCCUGUCCGAGCGUCAUUUCUGCCCUCCAGCCCGGCUGGGUGUUGGGCGCUGUCCCCCCGGGGACACGCCCCAAAGGCAGUGGCGGCGCCGCGUCGGGUCCUCGAGCGUAUGGGGCUUUGUCACCCGCUCGGGACGGACUCGUCGGCGCUGGUCUUCCUCCAGGCGACCCUUCGGGGCUCGUCUUCCUUCGGUUGACCUCGGAUCAGGUAGGGUUACCCGCUGAACUUAAGCAUAUCAAUAAGCGGAGGA